UACGAAGGGGGCUAGCGUUGCUCGGAAUGACUGGGCGUAAAGGGCGCGUAGGCGGCCUGGACAGUCGGAUGUGAAAUUCCUGGGCUCAACCUGGGGGCUGCAUCCGAGACGUUUGGGCUGGAGUGGGGAAGAGGGUCGUGGAAUUCCCAGUGUAGAGGUGAAAUUCGUAGAUAUUGGGAAGAACACCGGUGGCGAAGGCGGCGACCUGGUCCUUGACUGACGCUGAGGCGCGAAAGCGUGGGGGGAGCAAACAGGAUUAGAUACCCUGGUAGUCCACGCCGUAAACGAUGUGUGCUGGAUGUUGGGCGGCCUAGCCGUUCAGUGUCGAAGCUAACGCGGUAAGCACACCGCCUGGGGAGUACGGCCGCAAGGUUGAAACUC
Molecule: ribosomal RNA, 381 nt
Filed under: uncultured bacterium
Lineage: Bacteria
Description: bacterial SSU rRNA
Rfam family: Bacterial small subunit ribosomal RNA
Source: RNAcentral